This 224-nucleotide ribosomal RNA is filed under the name uncultured soil bacterium. Its description in RNAcentral is "partial 16S ribosomal RNA". It matches the Rfam family "Bacterial small subunit ribosomal RNA", at positions 26 to 243 of the family's 1533-position model. The record is from RNAcentral.
AGGACGAACGCUGGCGGCGUGCUUAACACAUGCAAGUCGAACGAUGAAGCCUAGCUUGCUAGGUGGAUUAGUGGCGAACGGGUGAGUAAUACGUGAGUAACCUACCUUUAACUCUGGGAUAAGCCUGGGAAACUGGGUCUAAUACCGGAUACGACCAAUCUCCGCAUGGGGGUGUUGGUGGAAAGCGUUAUGUAAGUGGUUAUAGAUGGGCUCACGGCCUAUCA